GAGUUUGAUCUUGGCUCAGAUUGAACGCUGGCGGCAGGCCUAACACAUGCAAGUCGAGCGGAUGAAGGGAGCUUGCUCCUGGAUUCAGCGGCGGACGGGUGAGUAAUGCCUAGGAAUCUGCCUGGUAGUGGGGAUAACGUCCGGAAACGGGCGCUAAUACCGCAUACGUCCUGAGGGAGAAAGUGGGGAUCUUCGGACCUCACGCUACCAGACGAGCCUAGGUCGGAUUAGCUAGUUGGUGGGGUAAAGGCCUACCAAGGCGACGAUCCGUAACUGGUCUGAGAGGAUGAUCAGUCACACUGGAACUGAGACACGGUCCAGACUCCUACGGGAGGCAGCAGUGGGGAAUAUUGGACAAUGGGCGAAAGCCUGAUCCAGCCAUGCCGCGUGUGAAGAAGGUCUUCGGAUUGUAAAGCACUUUAAGUUGGGAGGAAGGGCAGUAAGUUAAUACCUUGCUGUUUUGACGUUACCAACAGAAUAAGCACCGGCUAACUUCGUGCCAGCAGCCGCCGCGGUAAC
This 519-nucleotide ribosomal RNA is filed under the name uncultured microorganism. Its description in RNAcentral is "bacterial SSU rRNA". It matches the Rfam family "Bacterial small subunit ribosomal RNA", at positions 9 to 524 of the family's 1533-position model. The record is from RNAcentral.